This 255-nucleotide ribosomal RNA is filed under the name uncultured bacterium. RNAcentral's name for it is "partial 16S ribosomal RNA". It matches the Rfam family "Bacterial small subunit ribosomal RNA", at positions 524 to 776 of the family's 1533-position model. The record is from RNAcentral.
UACGUAGGUGGCAAGCGUUGUCCGGAUUUACUGGGCGUAAAGAGCGCGCAGGCGGUCGUUCAAGUCGCGUGUGAAAGCCCCCCGGCUCAACUGGGGAGGGUCACGCGAUACUGAUCGACUCGAAGGCAGGAGAGGGAAGUGGAAUUCCCGGUGUAGUGGUGAAAAUGCGUAGAUAUCGGGAGGAACACCAGUGGCGAAGGCGACUUCCUGGCCUGUUCUUGACGCUGAGGCGCGAAAGCUAGGGGAGCAAACGGG